CCUACGGGCGGCAGCAGUGAGGAAUAUUGGUCAAUGGCCGGAAGGCUGAACCAGCCAAGCCGCGUGAAGGACGAAGGUGCCAAGCAUUGUAAACUUCUUUUGUCAAGGGACAAAAUCAGGCUCGAGAGCCUGACCGAGGGUGCUUGAAGAACAAGCAUCGGCUAACUCCUUGCCAGCAGCGGCGGUAAUACGGGGGAGGCGAGGGUUAUCCGGAUUUAUUGGGUUUACGGGGUGCGUAGUCGGGCUGUUAAGCCAGCGGUAAAAGCCCGGGGCCCAACCCCGGCGAGCCGUGGAAACUGGCUGGCUAGAGAUGCCGAGAGGUAUGCGGAAUGCGCAGUGUAGCGGUGAAAUGCUUAGAUAUUGCGCAGAACUCCGAUUGCGAAGGCAGCAUACCGGCGGGGAUCUGACGCUGAGGCACGAAAGCGUGGGUAUCGAACAGGAUUAGAUACCCCUGUAGUC
This 459-nucleotide ribosomal RNA is filed under the name uncultured bacterium. RNAcentral describes it as "partial 16S ribosomal RNA". It matches the Rfam family "Bacterial small subunit ribosomal RNA", at positions 338 to 795 of the family's 1533-position model. The record is from RNAcentral.